AGUGAACGCUGGCGGUAGGCCUAACACAUGCAAGUCGAACGGCAGCACAGGAGAGCUUGCUCUCUGGGUGGCGAGUGGCGGACGGGUGAGGAAUACAUCGGAAUCUACUCUGUCGUGGGGGAUAACAUAGGGAAACUUACGCUAAUACCGCAUACGACCUACGGGUGAAAGCAGGGGACCUUCGGGCCUUGCGCGAUUGAAUGAGCCGAUGUCGGAUUAGCUAGUUGGCGGGGUAAAGGCCCACCAAGGCGACGAUCCGUAGCUGGUCUGAGAGGAUGAUCAGCCACACUGGAACUGAGACACGGUCCAGACUCCUACGGGAGGCAGCAGUGGGGAAUAUUGGACAAUGGGCGCAAGCCUGAUCCAGCCAUACCGCGUGGGUGAAGAAGGCCUUCGGGUUGUAAAGCCCUUUUGUUGGGAAAGAAAUCCAGCUGGCUAAUACCCGGUUGGGAUGACGGUACCCAAAGGAUAAGCACCGGCUAACUUCGUGCCAGCAGCCGCCGUAA
This 506-nucleotide ribosomal RNA is filed under the name uncultured bacterium. Its description in RNAcentral is "partial 16S ribosomal RNA". It matches the Rfam family "Bacterial small subunit ribosomal RNA", at positions 29 to 523 of the family's 1533-position model. The record is from RNAcentral.